UGCUCGACAUGGACACCGGUAUGAUUGAAGGUGGAUUAAAUGUCACUCUCACCAUCCGGCUACUUAUGCAUGGAAAGGAAGUUGGCAGUAUCAUCGGAAAGAAAGGAGAAUCAGUUAAAAAGAUGCGCGAGGAGAGUGGUGCACGUAUCAACAUCUCAGAAGGGAAUUGUCCUGAGAGAAUUAUCACUUUGGCUGGACCCACUAAUGCCAUCUUCAAAGCCUUUGCUAUGAUCAUUGACAAACUGGAAGAGGACAUAAGCAGCUCUAUGACCAAUAGCACAGCUGCCAGUAGAACCCCGGUCACCCUGAGGCUGGUGGUCCCUGCAAGUCAGUGUGGCUCUCUCAUCGGAAAAGGUGGUUGCAAGAUCAAGGAAAUACGAGAGAGUACAGGGGCUCAGGUCCAGGUGGCAGGGGAUAUGCUACCCAACUCAACUGAGUGGGCCAUCACUAGUGCUGGCAUUCCGCAAUCCAUCAUUGAGUGUGUCAAACAGAUCUGCGUGGUCAUGUUGGAGACUCUCCCGGUCCCCCCCGAAAGGCGUGACCAUCCCGUACCGGGCCAUGCUGUCCAGCUCUCCGGUCAUCUUUGCAGGUGGUCAGGACAGGUACAGCACAGGCAGCAACAGUGCGAGCUUUCCCCACACCACACCGUCCAUGUGCCUCAACCCUGACCUGGAGGGACCACCUCUAGAGUUGACCAAGCUGCACCAGUUGGCAAUGCAACAGUCUCAUUUUCCCAUGACGCAUGGCAACACCGGAUUCAGUGGCAUUGAAUCCAGCUCUCCAGAGGUGAAAGGCUAUUGGGCAGGUUUGGAUGCAUCUGCUCAGACUACUUCUCAUGAACUCACCAUUCCAAAUGAUUUGAUUGGCUGCAUAAUCGGGCGUCAAGGCGCCAAAAUCAAUGAGAUCCGUCAGACUUCUGGGGCGCAGAUCAAAAUUGCGAACCCAGUGGAAGGAUCUACUGAUAGGAAGGUUACCAUCACUGGAUCUGCUGCCAGCAUUAGCCUGGCUCAAUAUCUAAUCAAUGUCAGGCUUUCCUCGGAGACGGGUGGCAUGGGGAGCAGCUAGAACAAUGCAGAUUCAUCCAUAAUCGCUUUCUGCUGUUCACCUCCACCCAUGAUCCAUCUGUGUAGUUUCUGAACAGUCAGCGAUUCCAGGUUUUAAAUAGUUUGUAAAUUUUCAGUUUCUACACACUUUAUCAUCCACUCGUGAUUUUUUAAUUAAAGCGUUUUAAUUCCUUUCUCUGUU
Macaca mulatta (Rhesus monkey) is the source of this 1245-nucleotide RNA transcript. It is a transcript of the gene named poly(rC)-binding protein 2 pseudogene, with no coding region annotated. NCBI's taxonomy places the organism in Eukaryota, Metazoa, Chordata, Mammalia, Primates, Cercopithecidae. The record is from RefSeq and is a predicted model, not a curated record.